This 312-nucleotide ribosomal RNA is filed under the name Triticum aestivum (bread wheat). RNAcentral's name for it is "partial small subunit ribosomal RNA". Lineage: Eukaryota; Viridiplantae; Streptophyta; Magnoliopsida; Poales; Poaceae. The record is from RNAcentral.
AUUAGCUUCGAAUUUUACCCACCACGUAGUACACGGAAUAUGUUUGGCAACUGGUUUCAGGGUAUGAAUAAACAAUUUUAUGCACAUAUUCUUGUGGGAGCGGCGGCCUUAUGCUGGGCAAUAUGGCUUACCAGGAAUGAUGUGGUUUUUAACAAUAAAUGUGUCUCAUCUCCUAUGCAGGUUAUUCAUGUUUGUACACGAUGGCUCCGUACUUGGUCUAUCCUGCAGAAGCCGGAGGACAGGGACCUUUUUAUGAUGGUGUCUACACGGCUGGAGCGUACGGCCAGGAAGGUUUUCCACCCCCAUGGAUGA